This 465-nucleotide ribosomal RNA is filed under the name uncultured bacterium. Its description in RNAcentral is "partial 16S ribosomal RNA". It matches the Rfam family "Bacterial small subunit ribosomal RNA", at positions 338 to 795 of the family's 1533-position model. The record is from RNAcentral.
CCUACGGGUGGUAGCAGUGAGGAAUAUUGGUCAAUGGGCGCGAGCCUGAACCAGCCAAGUAGCGUGAAGGAUGAAGGUCUUCGGAUCGUAAACCUCUGUCAGCAGGGAAGAACGGUCACUGUGCUAAUCAGCAGUGCAUUGACGGUACCUGCAAAGGCAGCACCGGCUAACUCCGUGCCAGCAGCCGCGGUAAUACGGAGGGUGCGAGCGUUAAUCGGAAUUACUGGGCGUAAAGCGCUCGUAGGCGGUAUGUCAAGUCAAGGGUGAAAUCCCCGCGCUCAACGUGGGAACUGCCUUUGAAACUGGCAAACUGGAGUGUGUGAGAGGAUAGUGGAAUUCCAGGUGUAGGAGUGAAAUCCGUAGAUAUCUGGAGGAACAUCAGUGGCGAAGGCGACUAUCUGGCACAUAACUGACGCUGAGGAGCGAAAGCGUGGGUAGCAAACAGGAUUAGAUACCCUUGUAGUC